CCUACGGGUGGCAGCAGUGGGGAAUAUUGGGCAAUGGGCGCAAGCCUGACCCAGCAACGCCGCGUGAAGGAAGAAGGCUUUCGGGUUGUAAACUUCUUUUCUCAGGGACGAAGAAAGUAACGGACCCGGAGGAAUAACCACCGGCUAACAACGUGCCAGCAGCCGCGGUAAAACGUAGGUGGCAAGCUUUAUCCGGAUUUCCUGGGUGUAAAGGGCGUGUGGGCGGGACGGCAAGUCAGAUGUGAAAACCCCGGGCCCAACCUGUGGCCUGCAUUUGAAACUGUAGUUCUUGAGUACUGGAGAGGCAGACGGAAGUCCUAGUGUAGCGGUGAAAUGCGUAGAUAUUAGGAGGAACACCAGUGGCGAAGGCGGUCUGCUGGACAGCAACUGACGCUGAGGCGCGAAAGCGUGGGGAGCAAACAGGAUUAGAUACCCGAGUAGUC
This 443-nucleotide ribosomal RNA is filed under the name uncultured bacterium. Its description in RNAcentral is "partial 16S ribosomal RNA". It matches the Rfam family "Bacterial small subunit ribosomal RNA", at positions 338 to 795 of the family's 1533-position model. The record is from RNAcentral.